ACACGACUACAUUAGAUACCCCGGUAGUCCUAGCCGUAAACGAUACUCGCUAGGUGUCGGCCACGGUGCGACCGUUGUCGGUGCCGUAGGGAAGCCGUGAAGCGAGCCACCUGGGAAGUACGGCCGCAAGGCUGAAACUUAAAGGAAUUGGCGGGGGAGCACAACAACGGGUGGAGCUUGCGGCUUAAUUGGAUUCAACGCCGGAAAUCUUACCGGGACCGACAGCAACAUGAAGGCCAAGCUGAAGACUUUGCCGGAUUAGCUG
RNAcentral lists this ribosomal RNA (265 nucleotides) under uncultured archaeon. RNAcentral's name for it is "partial 16S ribosomal RNA". It matches the Rfam family "Archaeal small subunit ribosomal RNA", at positions 717 to 982 of the family's 1478-position model. The record is from RNAcentral.